RNAcentral lists this transfer RNA (72 nucleotides) under Gossypium harknessii. RNAcentral's name for it is "tRNA-Asn". Lineage: Eukaryota; Viridiplantae; Streptophyta; Magnoliopsida; Malvales; Malvaceae. The record is from RNAcentral.
UGGUAAGCCAAACCAUUUUCUCUUCUUUUUUUUUGCAUCUAGAAUGCUUUAAGCGGUAUUUCAACAACGAAA